GAAUGCUGACAUAAGUAACGAUAAAGCGGGUGAAAAGCCCGCUCGCCGGAAGACCAAGGGUUCCUGUCCAACGUUAAUCGGGGCAGGGUGAGUCGACCCCUAAGGCGAGGCCGAAAGGCGUAGUCGAUGGGAAACGGGUUAAUAUUCCCGUACUUGGUGUUACUGCGAAGGGGGGACGGAGAAGGCUAUGUUGGCCGGGCGACGGUUGUCCCGGUUUAAGCGUGUAGGUGUGUGUUCCAGGUAAAUCCGGUUCACUUUAACACUGAGGCGUGACGACGAGGCACUACGGUGCUGAAGCAACAAAUGCCCUGCUUCCAGGAAAAGCCUCUAAGCAUCAGGUAACAUCAAAUCGUACCCCAAACCGACACAGGUGGUCAGGUAGAGAAUACCAAGGCGCUUGAGAGAACUCGGGUGAAGGAACUAGGCAAAAUGGUGCCGUAACUUCGGGAGAAGGCACGCUGACACGUAGGUGAAGUGAUUUACUCAUGGAGCUGAAGUCAGUCGAAGAUACCAGCUGGCUGCAACUGUUUAUUAAAAACACAGCACUGUGCAAACACGAAAGUGGACGUAUACGGUGUGACGCCUGCCCGGUGCCGGAAGGUUAAUUGAUGGGGUCAGCGCAAGCGAAGCUCCUGAUCGAAGCCCCGGUAAACGGCGGCCGUAACUAUAACGGUCCUAAGGUAGCGAAAUUCCUUGUCGGGUAAGUUCCGACCUGCACGAAUGGCGUAAUGAUGGCCAGGCUGUCUCCACCCGAGACUCAGUGAAAUUGAACUCGCUGUGAAGAUGCAGUGUACCCGCGGCAAGACGGAAAGACCCCGUGAACCUUUACUAUAGCUUGACACUGAACAUUGAGCCUUGAUGUGUAGGAUAGGUGGGAGGCUUUGAAGUGUGGACGCCAGUCUGCAUGGAGCCGACCUUGAAAUACCACCCUUUAAUGUUUGAUGUUCUAACGUGGACCCGUUACCCGGGUUGCGGACAGUGUCUGGUGGGUAGUUUGACUGGGGCGGUCUCCUCCUAAAGAGUAACGGAGGAGCACGAAGGUUGGCUAAUCCUGGUCGGACAUCAGGAGGUUAGUGCAAUGGCAUAAGCCAGCUUGACUGCGAGCGUGACGGCGCGAGCAGGUGCGAAAGCAGGUCAUAGUGAUCCGGUGGUUCUGAAUGGAAGGGCCAUCGCUCAACGGAUAAAAGGUACUCCGGGGAUAACAGGCUGAUACCGCCCAAGAGUUCAUAUCGACGGCGGUGUUUGGCACCUCGAUGUCGGCUCAUCACAUCCUGGGGCUGAAGUAGGUCCCAAGGGUAUGGCUGUUCGCCAUUUAAAGUGGUACGCGAGCUGGGUUUAGAACGUCGUGAGACAGUUCGGUCCCUAUCUGCCGUGGGCGCUGGAGAACUGAGGGGGGCUGCUCCUAGUACGAGAGGACCGGAGUGGACGCAUCACUGGUGUUCGGGUUGUCAUGCCAAUGGCACUGCCCGGUAGCUAAAUGCGGAAGAGAUAAGUGCUGAAAGCAUCUAAGCACGAAACUUGCCCCGAGAUGAGUUCUCCCUGAGACUUAGAGUCUCCUGAAGGAACGUUGAAGACGACGAC
This 1581-nucleotide ribosomal RNA is filed under the name Salmonella enterica subsp. enterica serovar Enteritidis. RNAcentral describes it as "partial 23S ribosomal RNA". It matches the Rfam family "Bacterial large subunit ribosomal RNA", at positions 1292 to 2851 of the family's 2925-position model. Lineage: Bacteria; Pseudomonadati; Pseudomonadota; Gammaproteobacteria; Enterobacterales; Enterobacteriaceae. The record is from RNAcentral.